GGGGUGUGCUCAGAGCAGGGCGCCUGAAGAAUAGUUCCUCUGUUUACGAGCACACCCAACAGGAAUCUGGGGUCACUGUGGUGAGGGACACAAAACUUGUGGCCUCCCUAUGAACAAACGCCCUACAUGU
RNAcentral lists this small nucleolar RNA (130 nucleotides) under Microcebus murinus (gray mouse lemur). RNAcentral's name for it is "Small nucleolar RNA SNORA11 (ENSMICG00000045467.1)". It matches the Rfam family "Small nucleolar RNA SNORA11". Rfam says of the family: U107 (SNORA11) is a member of the H/ACA class of snoRNAs that guide the sites of modification of uridines to pseudouridines. This snoRNA was identified by RT-PCR from blood cells and its expression confirmed by Northern blot analysis. The record is from Rfam by way of RNAcentral. Lineage: Eukaryota; Metazoa; Chordata; Mammalia; Primates; Cheirogaleidae.